Molecule: long non-coding RNA, 2227 nt
Organism: Coffea arabica (coffee)
Lineage: Eukaryota; Viridiplantae; Streptophyta; Magnoliopsida; Gentianales; Rubiaceae
Source: RefSeq, a predicted model, not a curated record
AUGCGUUUUGGUGUGUGCAUUACCCACCAUACCCUUAGUGGGAUGAUGCUUACACUGUGAAUGUGUGGUUAUGGAGUGAUUGUUUCGACUUUACCUUUCAAAGUAGAUGUUAGCUGUGCAGUUAAGACAGAGAGGUUCUUCCAUGGAUUUGUAAUUGCUGCAAAUGGUCAGAUGAGUAAUUGAGCUUGUGCAAAGACUUCGAGGGGUUAAUUGAAUUAUUGAAGCAUGUUUACAUGCUCACAUGAAUGCAUUGAGAACAAGAUUAAUUCAAUGCUUGAUGGUGGAAAUGUAACUGCAAACCUUUUCCCUUCUAAACUUUUACAAAAUCAAUUGAGUUGCUCUAAAAAGUAGGAUGAUUAGAGUGAGCAAUUAUGGCCUCUUUGAUACAACAGCAAUGGAUGGAAGAUGAGGGACCUCUUGGAAAGCAUCUCCAAACUGAAAUGGAAAGCCUUUUGCUCUUCUGAAGCAUUUGUUGUGCAGUUUUUUAGGAAUCUACAAUAAUGGAGGUCGUAUACACAAAGUAUGGUUGGAUGAGUUUCUUAAGCUUCGUAUUACCAAGAUGGUGUCCGAAGAGAUAAGGUUUCUUGCCCUAUGUUUUUUAGUGACUCGAGUUCAAGUGGGAGGCAAGGGUUCAUCCAGCAGCAGAUUUGUCAUCAAGGUACUUUCUAAAACAAUUGUUCCAAUUAAUGCAUUAUUUUCGUGCGUUGGCUACAAUGCAAGAUGGUCUAUACCGCCUACUUACAGAAGAAGCCACCAAGUUACAAUUCCUGCGUCGAGCGCGGGUGCCACCCCUAGUGAUUAUAACAAUCCAAAUCACUCCAUAUACAAACUAAUAUGGAUGUUGGUUAUAUUUAAAGAGCCAUUCAUGUCCCUUGAAAAUGGACAUGCCCAUUCGCUAAUCCAUGGCUUUAGUGAAUAGGCACCAUAACCAACUACUAGUCAUUAUAGUUGCAACCCUUUAUUUUGAAAAUUCUCCAACAAUCACGCACUAAACACACGUAAGGGGAUUCUUAUCCUCACACUUCAAAGCAGCUUUACGAAGAACAAGUGGAUCUUCUUGAAGUAACAGAUAAAGAGUGGUAACAUCUCCUUCCAGUGCCGCAUCACAGACCCUUCUGUCCAUUUGUCACUCUACAAUUCACAGAAACAGAAAACCGCAUGUCAAGGAUGUGGGAUUGGGAUUGGGGUUGGGGUAGGUGGAGUAACUCUGCCAUUAGGCCUGGGUGCCCGCAAGCUGAGCCGAGAGAGCACCUGACUGCCAAAAUAAAAAAACAAGUAGCUUCUGCUGUCCAUCCGGCGAAUUUUCAGCCAUUUCUUGAACAGAGCGUUUAUCUCAUACAGGGUUGCGACCAUCCAACCGCUCCAGACCAUGAGUAGGAUGACUAGAAUAUCACUUGUAUUACCCAAUUGCCGCCCUCUUGCUCCUUUUGGUGCUACUGUAACAAAUGCUAUACCAUAAGUUAUGGCUAUGGUUGCAAUGGCUAGCCACAUGACGAAGGCCAACAGCGGCAUAAAGUACUUGCUGGGGAUGCUCGACCCACGAAUGAGCAAAAUAAUUGUGCUCAGAGAUGAAACAAAUGCUAUUGUGUUUGUCCGAAUCAGAAGCCAGUAAUAUUUUGGAUGCUUUUGUGCCAUAACAGCUUCUCCUAUUGUGUGUGGAUUUGGUCCUUCUAACAAGUCAUCUUGCCACAGACCUCCUGGAGGGCUUAUCCCAGCUUGAAAAGCCAUGGUUGCAAUAAGUAUGGCCACCACCAUUAGUGCUUCUCUGCUUUUGUCGAACCACUCUAGCUGCUUGAGCUUUCGGUCGUCAAUAGGGGAGCGAAUAUCCUUGGCUUUCAAGGCACCAGCCUCCUGAAGAGACCUUGAAAUUUCUGAAUUUUUGGUGAUUCCCUGCCCAAACAAAAGGUCUAACGCGGUUUUCCCGUUUGCGUUCUUGAUGUUCACCUCUACUCCAGCGUCAACUAGCAAGUAUUUGAUGGUCUGCAUUUACCAAUUUUGGAACUGAUGAAUUACAGAGAAUAGCUCACGCCUAAGCCUCAUCAAACUUAUUAGAAGCUGGAUGGAUAAAGGCUGGGAUUUUGAGGUCAAGCAUGUCUGGAGGGAAGGCAAUGCAAGUGCAGACUGUCUUGUUAAAACCAACUAUGUACAUAUGAAUCUACUAUGCAGCGGAGAUCUAAAUACACUUACCUCUAACCAUUGUUGUCAAGUACAAGUUGAUCUCUUCUUA